RNAcentral lists this unclassified non-coding RNA (257 nucleotides) under Hypocreales sp. Its description in RNAcentral is "partial contains 5.8S ribosomal RNA, internal transcribed spacer 2, and large subunit ribosomal RNA". The record is from RNAcentral. Lineage: Eukaryota; Fungi; Ascomycota; Sordariomycetes; Hypocreales.
CGCACAUUGCGCCCGCCAGUACUCUGGCGGGCAUGCCUGUCCGAGCGUCAUUUCAACCCUCAAGCCCCCGGGCUUGGUGUUGGGGAUCGGCCCGCCCCCGCGGCGCGCCGUCCCCUAAAUCUAGUGGCGGCCUCGCUGCAGCCUCCCCUGCGUAGUAGCUAACACCUCGCAACGGGAACUCAGCGCGGCCACGCCGUUAAACCCCCCACUUCUGAAAGGUUGACCUCGGAUCAGGUAGGACUACCCGCUGAACUUAA